AGCUUUGUGCAGUGGCAGUAUCAUAGACAAUGAUGUUUAUGCAAGGCGCGAUUAUUGCUAAUUGAAAACUUUUCCCAAAGAUAAUAGACUAAAACAAUUUAGGUCUGAGAAUGAAAUUUCUAGAUUAAGUCCCAUUU
Molecule: small nuclear RNA, 137 nt
Organism: Apodemus sylvaticus (European woodmouse)
Lineage: Eukaryota; Metazoa; Chordata; Mammalia; Rodentia; Muridae
Product: U4 spliceosomal RNA
Exons: 1
Source: RefSeq, a predicted model, not a curated record